Molecule: non-coding RNA, 75 nt
Organism: Haemonchus contortus (barber pole worm)
Lineage: Eukaryota; Metazoa; Nematoda; Chromadorea; Rhabditida; Trichostrongylidae
Source: Rfam
GGCCCAAAUCUGAAGUAAGAUGGAUUAGUAAAGUCAGCUGAUCCUACUAUUCUAAUGUACUUCGAAAUUGGGCCC